UGUCCAGGGAUGGGAAUCGAACCCACAGUGUUCCGCUUACCGGGCAGAUACCAUGUCCACUAGGCUAGCAAUCAUAAGC
This 79-nucleotide transfer RNA is filed under the name Cordylochernes scorpioides. RNAcentral's name for it is "tRNA-Thr". Lineage: Eukaryota; Metazoa; Arthropoda; Arachnida; Pseudoscorpiones; Chernetidae. The record is from RNAcentral.